CGAUUGGACCCUGUGUAUSAUGGGCUACCUAAUAAUAAUUUGAAUUAAAAAUCCCGAAAUCUUUGUGAGCUAACCUUCUUCUGUUAAGAACAAAAACAUAUAUAUAGAAAAAUAUAUGUCAGAAAAAAAGUUAGCGAUAAUAUGUCAGCCGCACAAGAUGAUAGCUGGAUUCUUCCAAAAUACAUAAAAGUAUAACUUUUAUAAAAAAGUAAAUUUUUACGGGGAAUAGCUCGUAAAAAGAAAAUUUUGAUUAAUAUGUAAACCAAUACAGUUAACUAGGCUUAUAAAUUGUCAAGUUAAUUAAUCUGUUACAAGAAAGCUAAAUUUUCUGGGAAAAUUAUAUUAACAAUUGAAUUUAAAUAGGAAGAGAAAACCUAAAACAUCAGGUUUACCAAAAUGGCAGCAUUAAUACUUAAACUAUUUACCUAGUAAAAAUUAUAACAAAAAGUUUUUAAGGAACUCGGCAAAUAGGGCUACGACUGUUUAUCAAAAACCUAGUCUCUUGCACUCAUAAGAGAUGAAGUCUGCCCAGUGACAACUGUUUAAACGGCCGCGGUAUAACGUGCUAAGGUAGCAUAAUAAUUUGUUCUUUCAUUGAGGACUAGCAUGAAAGGCACCACGUUAGCCCUACUGUCUCAAAGACUUUUAAAGAAAUUUGACUUAAAAGUGAAAAGGCUUUUAUAAAACUGAUGGACGAGAAGACCCUGUAGAGCUUUAGUAAAGGUUAAGAACAAUACACAGUUUCUUAAAAACACUUACUUUUAUUGGGGCAAUAUGAGAGAAAUAAAACUCUCUAAACCGAAAUUCCAAUAGGAAUUAAAAUUACUCAAUCCUCUAAGAGAAUAAAGAAAAGCUACCUGAGGGAUAACAGCGUAAUCCUACCUAAGAGACCUAAUCGAAGGUACGGUUUGCGACCUCGAUGUUGGA
RNAcentral lists this ribosomal RNA (927 nucleotides) under Alcyonidioides mytili. RNAcentral describes it as "partial 16S ribosomal RNA". It matches the Rfam family "Bacterial large subunit ribosomal RNA", at positions 679 to 2536 of the family's 2925-position model. Lineage: Eukaryota; Metazoa; Bryozoa; Gymnolaemata; Ctenostomatida; Alcyonidiidae. The record is from RNAcentral.